This 465-nucleotide ribosomal RNA is filed under the name uncultured bacterium. Its description in RNAcentral is "partial 16S ribosomal RNA". It matches the Rfam family "Bacterial small subunit ribosomal RNA", at positions 28 to 507 of the family's 1533-position model. The record is from RNAcentral.
GACGAACGCUGGCGGCGUGCUUAACACAUGCAAGUCGUACGGUAAGGCCCUUUCGGGGGUACACGAGUGGCGAACGGGUGAGUAACACGUGAGUAACCUGCCCACAACUUUGGGAUAACGCUAGGAAACUGGUGCUAAUACUGGAUAUGUGCUCCUGCUGCAUGGUGGGGGUUGGAAAGCUCCGGCGGUUGUGGAUGGACUCGCGGCCUAUCAGCUUGUUGGUGGGGUAGUGGCCUACCAAGGCGGCGACGGGUAGCCGGCCUGAGAGGGUGACCGGCCACAUUGGGACUGAGAUACGGCCCAGACUCCUACGGGAGGAAGCAGUGGGGAAGAUUGCACAAUGGGCGCAAGCCUGAUGCAGCAACGCCGCGUGCGGGAUGACGGCCUUCGGGUUGUAAACCGAUUUCAGCAGGGACGAAGCUUUUUGUGACGGUACCUGCAGAAGAAGCACCGGCUAACUACGUG